AACGAACGCUGGCGGCAUGCCUAACACAUGCAAGUCGAACGAGACCUUCGGGUCUAGUGGCGCACGGGUGCGUAACGCGUGGGAACCUGCCCUUAGGUUCGGAGUAACUCCCCGAAAGGGGUGCUAAUACCGGAUAAGGUCUUCGGACCAAAGAUUUAUCGCCUUUGGAUGGGCCCGCGUUGGAUUAGCCAGUUGGUAGGGUAAAAGCCUACCAAGGCGACGAUCCAUAGCUGGUCUGAGAGCAUGAUCAGCCACACUGGGACUGCGACACGGCCCAGACUCCUACGGGAGGCAGCAGUGGGGAAUAUUGGACACUGAGCGCAAGCCUGAUCCAGCAAUGCCGCGUGAGUGAUGAAGGCCUUAGGGUUGUAAAGCUCUUUUACACGGGAUGAUAAUGACAGUACCGGGAGAAUAAGCUCCGGCUAACUCCGUG
RNAcentral lists this ribosomal RNA (433 nucleotides) under uncultured bacterium. RNAcentral's name for it is "partial 16S ribosomal RNA". It matches the Rfam family "Bacterial small subunit ribosomal RNA", at positions 29 to 507 of the family's 1533-position model. The record is from RNAcentral.